AUGCAUACAGUCGCAUUUCAGGCUUAUGAAAAUCUGCAAGAUGUUGUCGCUCGGCCAUCUUCUUCCAAAUCCAUGCUUACCGAGUACUUUCAGAUGAACCAAAAGUAUCCAGAGGCACGAAAAUUGUUGUACAGAGAGUUCCCAGAACAUUAUAGGUGGAUAUCCGGUAAUAAGAAGUGGCAACCGAGGAAAAAUAAGAGAUCACAGAUUGGAAGAUUGGUGCAUGCACACCCUGCUGAAGGAGAGAGGUACUACCUGAGGGUGCUCCUAAACCAUGUCCGAGGUGCCACUUCAUUUGAUGAUUUAAAAACAAUAAAUGGCAAGCCAUGCGGAUCCUUCAGAGAGGCGUGCGAGCAAUUAGGCCUCAUUGAGCAUGACAGGACACUUGAUGAUUGCAUGACAGAGGCAGCAACAUUUCAAAUGCCUUCUGCUCUUAGACGGUUGUUUGCGACUAUACUGGUAUUCUGUGAGGCAACACAAAUCCGUCAGUUGUGGGACAAACAUCUAGCAUCCAUGUCUGAAGAUUAUCGCCGUACUCAAUCGAAUGAGGCAGCACUAGAGCAAAUGGUCCUUAGGGAUAUUAGGGAUCUGUUGCAAUCCAUGGGAAAGAAUAUUAAACACUAUGGACUUCCGGAUCUGGUUGACGCAGAUGGUUCUUCUGACGUUGAGAAUAGAGAGGUAACAGAGGAGAGAGAGGUCACGGUGGACCAAGAACAUCUAGAUCUAUUUAGUUGUUUGAACAAUGAGCAACUAGCUGGUUUCAAUGACAUAAUGGAGCAUGUGACGAACCAGAAAAGCCAGAUUUUCUUCGUUGAUGGCCCAGGAGGCACUGGGAAGACGUACCUGUACAAGGCGUCCUUGAUAAUUUGGGAUGAAGUUGCUAUGACAAAGCGUCAAGCAGUUGAGACGCUUGAUAGAUCGCUACAGGAUAUAAUGGAAUGUCCUUUACCAUUUGGUGGAAAGGUUAUCGUCUUUGGUGGCGAUUUCAGGCAGGUACUCCCCGUUGUGACACGAGGGACAAGAGCACAGAUCACUGAUGCUACACUGUUGAGAUCCUAUCUGUGGCAGAAGAUCCGGAAGAUAUGCCUCACACGCAAUAUGCGGGCACAGACAGACCCUUGGUUCUCGGAAUACCUCCUACGGAUCGGCAAUGGAACGGAAGAAACAAUUGGCAACGACUAUGUGCAUCUCCCUGAAGACAUUGUGAUUGCUUAUACCGACGAUGAAGAACCUAUUAACAAGCUUAUCGAAGAUGUCUUCCCAUCCCUACACACCAAUGCUAGGUCGAGAGAGUACAUGAGCACACGUGCAAUUCUCUCGACCAAAAAUGAGCAUGUGGAUGACUUGAAUGACAAGAUGAUCUCCAGAUUUCCGGGCGAGGAAAAGGAUAAUGCAAUCGAUGCUGAGAUUGUUGGUGGCCAGCAUGCUGGAAAGAGGGUGUUCAUACCUAGGAUCCCUAUGUCGCACUCGGAGGACACCUCGCUUCCG
This 1488-nucleotide ribosomal RNA is filed under the name Triticum aestivum (bread wheat). RNAcentral's name for it is "partial small subunit ribosomal RNA". The record is from RNAcentral. Lineage: Eukaryota; Viridiplantae; Streptophyta; Magnoliopsida; Poales; Poaceae.